Molecule: long non-coding RNA, 931 nt
Filed under: Heterocephalus glaber (naked mole-rat)
Lineage: Eukaryota; Metazoa; Chordata; Mammalia; Rodentia; Bathyergidae
Description: lncRNA (ENSHGLG00100050599.1)
Source: RNAcentral
CUGCCUGCUGCAUAGCUGCUACUUCUGCUGGUUCUCUUCCUGCUCACACUCCUCCGGAGCAGUUUGGGAGAAGAACGCUAGUUUCUGUGAAAAGCUAAGGACACUGGUCUCUGAGGCGAAGAUGCCAUGUGGAUCCUCAUGUCUGCUUCUGCACACUGUGCACAAUGCACUGCGUCAGGGAUGUGCAGCCCUGGAUCCGAGCCUGGAGGAGGAGCCCGAGCGACAAGAAGAGUUCUCUGCCUUCCAAGCUCCUCCCACCACAAGCCCACCGCAGGGACCCGGGCCCAGGGCUGUGCGCUCAGCAGCGGAGCAGCUGCGUGUCGCUCGGGCCCUGGGCCCAGACCGCAGCCCAGGGAGCUGUGCCUGAGUCCGGAUGCCACACCACUCGCAGCGCUGUGCUUAGCUAUCCAUGCGUUUCUGUUGUGCUGCUGGGGAUUGAGCUUGGAACUGUACCGCAAAAGGGAACUUUAAAAGCUAGAUGCUUUGUUCUUUUAGAGAUAAGCGGCGCCUCCAGAUCUCCCCAAGAGCACAUGGCCGACACCCCGUCCUGUCCUCAGCCCGGGUGAACAGCAGAAGGACCUGGCUCCUCCCGUGCACACACAGCGGGAAGACCCACAACAGAACGGCUCUCAUUUGGAGAAGUGGCGAGCUCCGGCACUUCCCCUGAGGAAGCUAACUGGAACUGUCGCAGACCCAUCGCACCCGAAAUUCCUCUGGAACUCGGACGUCCAUAGAGUGAGCCAGGCCUCUCGGCAGCUGCAGUGGCUCUACUCACUGUGUUGAUAAACUGGAGAUUGUCGGUGUCUGAUUGCUGCCUGGUGAGAGCUCCGGAUUCACUUGAACCCUAAGCAGGAAAUGUUACUGCGCCUCAUCCACCCUCCUCUUAACCGAAGAACCCUUUUCCGGGGGGGCGGGGAACGCGCCUUAUGAG